RNAcentral lists this ribosomal RNA (289 nucleotides) under Oreochromis niloticus (Nile tilapia). RNAcentral's name for it is "partial 12S ribosomal RNA". It matches the Rfam family "Bacterial small subunit ribosomal RNA", at positions 505 to 916 of the family's 1533-position model. The record is from RNAcentral. Lineage: Eukaryota; Metazoa; Chordata; Actinopteri; Cichliformes; Cichlidae.
UUGCCAGCCGCCGCGGUUAUACGAGAGGCUCAAGUUGACGGACAUCGGCGUAAAGAGUGGUUAGGAAGUCUUUCAAACUAAAGCCGAACGCCCUCAGAACUGUUAUACGUACCCGAGGGUAAGAAGCCCCCCUACGAAAGUGGCUUUAUAUCUCCGACCCCACGAAAGCUGCGAAACAAACUGGGAUUAGAUACCCCACUAUGCCCAGCCCUAAACUUUGAUAGCCCACUACACCCGCUAUCCGCCCGGGUACUACGAGCACUAGCUUAAAACCCAAAGGACUUGGCGG